UUAAAUGGAUGAAAUAUGAAGUUUUAUUAAAAUAAAAAGGGAUGAAAAGAACAAAGUUUUGUCCAUCUUUGUUCAUCAUAGCUGAAAGUUAGAGAAGAGAAAGGAGAGGAGAAAGCUCUUGAGUAUUCGGUCAUUAGGAGGAGGAAAAUUGAAGGCGGUUCGUGUGUGGAUCUCGUCAGCAUAUCGUCGCAAACAGGUGUGUAACUAACACCCUCUUUCUUAGUCUGGAUCGGCAAAAGUCGAAAAGUCGAAAUGCCGAAAAUCGGUAUUUUGUAGAUUUGCGAAAAGCGAAUGCUCAUGAGGUAAAUCGAUUAAUGUUUUUGGUAAGCUGUAAAAUUUGGACUGCAAAGUGCAUGAUUUACGUGCCUCGAUAUUUUUGGGCUUAAUGGGCCAAAAUUGGAAUGAUGGGCCAAUCGGCCCAAUUCGUAAGAACCCUCGACGUGAUUCGUUAGUACGUGAAAAGUAGGAAUAUGCAUGAAAAACCCUAAAAUAGAUAAAUUACUAAAAUACCUUUAAAAGUGGAAAAUUUACGCUUUUGCCCCUAGUAGAUAAAUUACCAAAUACCCCAGGGUUAAAUUGACCUAAAUGCAUGUUUGAUGUUGUUAUUUAUCGCAUGCCAUGUUGUUAUUAUCGAUGCAUGGACUGAGAUAUUGACGGAGGAAGUACUGAAAGUGGCGUGUCCACGUCUUGGAGGCUUUGCCUCAAUUUAUGAUAAUCGAGCAGCAAGGUGCAGAAUCUGUGGAGUGUUAAAUUUGGGUGGGUUGAGCUAUUCCCCACAUGGAGUGUAUGGCUGGUACGGUGGAGUGUAGUGGUUGGUGGGUUGAGUAGUCUCCCAAAUGGGCUUGCAUAUGUUUACCGAUGUUGCAUGUAUUUUGAAAUGGGCCUAUGGGCCAUACUGUUAUCUGAAUAAGGGCUAAGGCCCGUUUAUUAUAAUCUGAAAAGGGCUCGCCCAGCAUCACUAUUACCCAAAUGGACUUGCAUAUGUUUACCGAUGUUGCAUGUAUUUUGAAAUGGGCCUAUGGGCCAUAUCAUUAUCUGAAUAAGGGCUAAGGCCCAAUUUAUUGUAAUCUGAAAGGGCUCGCCCAAGACCACUAUUACUGAAUGGGCUUAAGCCCAAUAGGCUUGAGUGACUUGGGCUUUGAAUGGGUUUUCCUUACACACUGAGUUUCCCCAAACUCACCCCUUUUAUUUUCAUCCACGCAGAAAUCCCCAACCAUAGUGGGCUUGGAGUCGUGAGGGAAUUGGAUGGCCACCCAUUCGAAAGUUUGAUUUUCUUCGUGAACUGGACAUCCUUUUAAUUACGUUUGAGGUUUUAGGCUUUUAAAUGUAAUAAGGCCGCUUAUUUAUUUUUGAUGGUUUUAAUAUGUAUUACUAAGAUAGGUAAUACUUAUUUUAACUGUUGAAAUUGGAUAGCUUUAGGCGUUUUCAAAAACAACAGUUGAUUUCAAAAUAACACGACAAUAAGCAAAGCUUCCGCAAUGAAAGUAUUUUCCAAAAUUAAUCACUUUUCCUAAAAUGACUUAAUCGAAUCGGUUUCCUAGAAAUAUCCAUGACGUUAAGGUGUGGCAAUGGCGGUAUGCAUGUCUAGGAUUGGAUCCGAAGGAGCUUGGUACUUAAGCAAUCCGAUGGACUCACCACCUCUUUUCGGUUUCCUACCGGUGCAUGACUUCCAUUCACUUUAACCCUUAAUGAAUUAAUCUUUUGAACAUCAAGUACGAUUUUCUGGACUUAGAAUGGAAUUUUUUUUUUAUGUUUUUGAUGUGGCAUGCCGGAUCCGGCCAUAACUUCUGGGCCGGGUUUGGGGUGUUACAACUAGCAUGCAUCCCUAAACCGAUGGGCAAACCAAACGAGUGAAUGUAUUGUUAGAGAUGUAUCUUCGGCACUAUGUAAGUGCGACACAAAAGGAUUGGCCGAAGUUGUUGGAUGUGGCCUAGUUUUCGUACAACUUACAAUGAAGUAGGGCGACGAACCAGAGUCCGUUCGAGAUAGUGAUGGGGCAACAGCCACUUACACCCAAUGCUGUUGCAACUCGUUAUGCGGGACCAAAUCCAGCAGCUUAUCGAUUUGCGAGGGAUUGGCAAGAGCAAAACGAUCUAGCUAGAGCUUGUCUAUAUAAGGCAAGUAAGUGCAACAAGAAGUGGGCAGAUCGAAAUUGAAGGGACGUGCAAUUUCAGGUUGGUGACCUAGUUCUUGCUAAACUACACCUAAUUUUGCGACAUGAUGGGUUACACUAAGGACUCGUGAGACGGUCUGAGGGGCCAUUUCGAGUUGUGAAGAAAGUAGGUAAGGUGGCCUACAAGCUUGAGUUGCUGAAAAGCUCAAAGUUCAUUCAAGAUUCCAUGUAAGUAUGCUUAAGCCAUUCCAUGAAGAUGGAGAAGACCCAAGUUGAAGCAAGUCCGAACGAGCACUAAUGGGGUAAAAGUUGCCUAUGAUCGAGAGGUCGAGAACAUCGAGGCGGAUCGUGUGGUCGACGGAAGUACUAUCGACCAUGCAUGAAUACUUAGUCCGAUGGAAGGAUUUACGGAUAGUGAGACGAGUUGAGAACCUAUUGAAGCCUUGUGGCAAUUUCAAGACAAGAUAGAUCGAUACCAUGCAGAGGACGCGACAAGGGUGUCGCUAGAUUCGGUGGGGGAGAAUGUCAUGGGUUGCACAUGGGAGCCCGCAACUAUGACACAUCUAUGCGAUCCAUCAAGAAGGAAAGAGGUUAUUUGGCCCAAUCAGACUGGCCCGUUGCUUAAAGAGAUUGAAGGUCUAUCUACAAGCUCGACAAAUAUGGAAACAUGAUCUUCGAAGAUAUGCAAUCUUAGAUAUGAUAUGUAAUCUUAGAAGAUAUGAUUUUGUAAUCUUAGAGAUUUGAUUUGUAGAUACCCUUUGAUCAUAGCCGUUGAUGUACUUGAUUUGUACCGUUGGAUUUAGAGAGGCUCAACUACAAAUAGAGGCCUCUCCCCUCAUUGUAAAGCACUUGAGUUUUUUUUGAGCAAUAAGAAUUCUUGAGAGCAUUCACUCAAA
This is a long non-coding RNA of Gossypium arboreum, 3009 nucleotides long. RefSeq lists it as uncharacterized. Lineage: Eukaryota; Viridiplantae; Streptophyta; Magnoliopsida; Malvales; Malvaceae. The transcript has 2 exons. The record is from RefSeq and is a predicted model, not a curated record.